This 490-nucleotide ribosomal RNA is filed under the name uncultured bacterium. Its description in RNAcentral is "partial 16S ribosomal RNA". It matches the Rfam family "Bacterial small subunit ribosomal RNA", at positions 29 to 507 of the family's 1533-position model. The record is from RNAcentral.
AGUGAACGCUGGCGGUAGGCCUAACACAUGCAAGUCGAACGGCAGCACAGGAGAGCUUGCUCUCUAGGUGGCGAGUGGCGGGCGGGUGAGCUAUACAUCGGCAUCUUCCCAGUCGUGGAGGUUCGCAUAGGGGCACUUAUACUAAUACCGCAUACGACCUGCAGGUGGAGGAUCGGGAUAGCACGACCUCUCGCGUUUGGCUGAGCCGAUGUCGGAUUAGCUAGUUAGCGGGGUAAAGGCCUACCAAGGCGACGAUCCGUAGCUGGUCUGAGAGGAUGAUCAGCCACACUGGAACUGAGACACGGUCCAGACUCCUACGGGAGGCAGCAGUGGGGAAUAUUGGACAAUGGGCGAAAGCCUGAUCCAGCCAUGCCGCGUGGGUGAAGAAGGCCUUCGGAUUGUAAAGCCCUUUUGUUGGGAAAGAAAGCUUGCAGGCUAAUACCCUGGGGGGUUGACGGUACCCAAAGAAUAAGCACCGGCUAACUUCGUG